GACGUAGGAGGCGAGCGUUGUCCGGAUUCAUUGGGCGUAAAGAGCACGCAGGCGGUUUGGCAAGUCGGAUGUGAAAACCCGGAGCUCAACUCCGGACCUGCAUCCGAAACUGCCCGACUAGAGGUAGGUAGGGGAGAUCGGAAUUCCUGGUGUAGCGGUGAAAUGCGCAGAUAUCAGGAGGAACACCGGUGGCGAAGGCGGCUUCCUGGACCGACACUGACGCUGAGGCGCGAAAGCUAGGGGAGCAAACGGG
Molecule: ribosomal RNA, 253 nt
Filed under: uncultured bacterium
Lineage: Bacteria
Description: partial 16S ribosomal RNA
Rfam family: Bacterial small subunit ribosomal RNA
Source: RNAcentral